RNAcentral lists this ribosomal RNA (752 nucleotides) under uncultured bacterium. RNAcentral's name for it is "bacterial SSU rRNA". It matches the Rfam family "Bacterial small subunit ribosomal RNA", at positions 8 to 796 of the family's 1533-position model. The record is from RNAcentral.
AGAGUUUGAUCCUGGCUCAGAAUCAACGCUGGCGGCGCGCUUAACACAUGCAAGUCGAGCGAGAAAGGGGCAACCUGAGUACAGCGGCGUACGGGUGAGUAACACGUGGGUAAUUUACCUCUUAGUGGGGAAUAACCCUGGGAAACCGGGGCUAAUACCGCAUAAGCCUGAGAAGGGAAAGCUAGAAAUGGCGCUGAGAGAGGAGCCCGCGGCCGAUUAGCUAGUUGGUGAGGUAACGGCUCACCAAGGCGACGAUCGGUAGCCGGCCUGAGAGGGCACACGGCCACACUGGCACUGAAACACGGGCCAGACUCCUACGGGAGGCAGCAGUGGGGAAUCUUGCACAAUGGAGGCAACUCUGAUGCAGCGACGCCGCGUGAGCGAUGAAGCCCUUCGGGGUGUAAAGCUCUUUCGGCAGGGACGAUAAUGACGGUACCUGAAGAAGAAGCUGCGGCUAACUACGUGCCAGCAGCCGCGGUAAUACGUAGGCAGCGAGCGUUGUUCGGAAUUACUGGGCGUAAAGAGUGUGUAGGCGGUGCUCUAAGUUCGGUGUGAAAUCUCCCGGCUUAACUGGGAGGGUGCGCCGGAAACUGGAGUGCUCGAGCGUGGGAGAGGAAAGCGGAAUUCCUGGUGUAGCGGUGAAAUGCGUAGAUAUCAGGAGGAACACCCGGUGUAGACGGCUUUCUGGACCAUAGCUGACGCUGAGACACGAAAGCGUGGGUAGCAAACAGGAUUAGAUACCCCUGUAGUCC